GACGAACGCUGGCGGCGUGCUUAACACAUGCAAGUCGAGCGGUAAGGCCCUUUCGGGGGUACACGAGCGGCGAACGGGUGAGUAACACGUGGGUGACCUGCCCUCAGCUCUGGGAUAAGCCUGGGAAACUGGGUCUAAUACCGGAUAUGACUCCAUGACGCAUGUUGUGGGGUGGGAAGCCUUGUGCGGCUGAGGAUGGGCCCGCGGCCUAUCAGCUUGUUGGUGGGGUGAGGCCUACCAAGGCGACGACGGGUAGCCGGCCUGAGAGGGCGACCGGCCACACUGGGACUGAGACACGGCCCAGACUCCUACGGGAGGCAGCAGUGGGGAAUCUUGCGCAAUGGGCGAAAGCCUGACGCAGCGACGCCGCGUGAGGGAUGACGGCCUCGGUGU
Molecule: ribosomal RNA, 393 nt
Filed under: uncultured bacterium
Lineage: Bacteria
Description: bacterial SSU rRNA
Rfam family: Bacterial small subunit ribosomal RNA
Source: RNAcentral